GCUCAGGACGAACGCUGGCGGCGCGCCUAACACAUGCAAGUCGAACGAGAGAUGAAGAGCUUGCUCUUCAAAUCGAGUGGCGAACGGGUGAGUAACGCGUGAGGAACCUGCCUCAAAGAGGGGGACAACAGUUGGAAACGGCUGCUAAUACCGCAUAAGCCCACAGCUCGGCAUCGAGCAGAGGGAAAAGGAGCAAUCCGCUUUGAGAUGGCCUCGCGUCCGAUUAGCUAGUUGGUGAGGUAACGGCCCACCAAGGCGACGAUCGGUAGCCGGACUGAGAGGUUGAACGGCCACAUUGGGACUGAGACACGGCCCAGACUCCUACGGGAGGCAGCAGUA
RNAcentral lists this ribosomal RNA (339 nucleotides) under uncultured bacterium. RNAcentral describes it as "bacterial SSU rRNA". It matches the Rfam family "Bacterial small subunit ribosomal RNA", at positions 22 to 356 of the family's 1533-position model. The record is from RNAcentral.